AGCAGCCGCGGUAAUUCCAGCUCCAAUAGCGUAUAUUAAAGUUGUUGCAGUUAAAAAGCUCGUAGUUGAAUUUCGAGACCGGCUUACUGGUCGUGCUAUUGUACGUACUGGUAUAAUCGGUUUCUCCUUUCUGACGAACUAUAAUGCCAUUAAUUUGGUGUUAUAGGGAAUCAGGACUGUUACUUUGAAAAAAUUAGAGUGUUUAAAGCAGGCUCACGCUUGAAUACAUUAGCAUGG
Molecule: ribosomal RNA, 237 nt
Filed under: uncultured Glomus
Lineage: Eukaryota; Fungi; Glomeromycota; Glomeromycetes; Glomerales; Glomeraceae
Description: partial 18S ribosomal RNA
Rfam family: Eukaryotic small subunit ribosomal RNA
Source: RNAcentral